Molecule: unclassified non-coding RNA, 395 nt
Filed under: soil metagenome
Description: partial contains 5.8S ribosomal RNA, internal transcribed spacer 2, and large subunit ribosomal RNA
Rfam family: 5.8S ribosomal RNA (bases 1-120)
Source: RNAcentral
GAUGAAGAACGUAGCGAAAUGCGAUAAGUAAUGUGAAUUGCAGAAUUCAGUGAAUCAUCGAAUCUUUGAACGCACCUUGCGCCUUUUGGUAUUCCGAAAGGCACACCUGUUUGAGCGUCAUGAAUACCUCAAUCUCCAUCUUUUCUUCGGAUUGAUGGGUGACUUGGAUGUUGAGCCCUGCUGGUAUGCUAUAUCAGCUGGCUUUAAACUUAUUAGCCGGCUCUGUACUGGAUCGGUUUGACUCGACGUGAUAAUAUUAUCGUUGAGGAUGCAUGUCUCAUGCAGCCGGAAAGUAUCAAAGCAGCUUCUAGCUUGCCUUUAGUGCACUUUCACAUUUUAGACCUCAGAUCAGGUGGGACUACCCGCUGAACUUAAGCAUAUCAAUAAGCGGAGGA